Molecule: non-coding RNA, 95 nt
Filed under: pig gut metagenome
Description: THF riboswitch
Rfam family: THF (Tetrahydrofolate) riboswitch aptamer
About the family: THF riboswitch presents a pseudoknot that joins P1-P2 and the loop of P3 and two THF binding.
Source: RNAcentral
GCAGAGUAGGAAUUUGCGCGUUAAGUGUCAUGCAGACGGGGAGUUGCUGCGUGGACGAAAAGGUUUCUUGCGGUGCAGAUUUCGCAUCCCGCUGC